RNAcentral lists this long non-coding RNA (1269 nucleotides) under Neodiprion pinetum (white pine sawfly). RNAcentral describes it as "uncharacterized LOC124213802". The record is from RNAcentral. Lineage: Eukaryota; Metazoa; Arthropoda; Insecta; Hymenoptera; Diprionidae.
UCGAGACGAAGACCUCGAAAGAGAGAGAAUCGUAUCGGCAUGUGAAUGUGAAAGUAUCGCUUGUUCGCCUGGGCAACGAACAUGCGCCUAAUGCAGUAGCUGGGCUGAAACUUUCUGUAAAAUUGAAUUGGUCACAGCCGUGAGACCAAUGGAUCCUGACCUGCUCGAGGAUUCUGCGGAUUCCCUCGCGGGGUGCGUCCUCAUAGUUGCUGGGAUCAACCGAGAGGAGCUUCAUCACGCGAACCUUCCCGCCCGGACAUUCCGCGUAGACGUCGGUGAAGGUACCGCCACGAUCAAUGGCGAACCCGAAUUUAUCCUCGACGACCAUGAUUCUGGUUCGACUGCUUUUCCUCCUCAAUGCUCCCUGAGCUCCACAAUAAGUAUCUUGCAAUACUGCACGAUUACUCAACCUCAAGCCGCUAUGUAGGGUAAUAAAUUAGGUAAUAUUAACGAUCGUCAAUGUUAUUCAUAUUGCUAAAUGGUACCGUUGAAAAAGCAAUAUGUUGUUUCGUUAGUUCAACAGUGUCGGCCAAUAAAAGAGUUUCGGUAAAAACUUAUGAAACGAAUUGGCUCAUGAAUAACCAUAUUUACUCAUACAUAUACGGAUUUUCCUUUUUUCGGCUAAAUAACAUUCAUCAAAACUUUGACUAGAAAUGUGUACUAAAAAAUUAUUCUAAUUUGCAGCUUGAAGACAAACCGUCGAAAAAUAAUUAGAUGAUUAAAAAAUCAUAACUAGUAAUUUAUUCGCCGUUACAUAAUUCAAUUGGAAAAAGUAGUGAACCAGCCAAUCUGAAUUGCAUUAUUGCAUAGAAAUUUUGUGCGAUAACAGAGAUCCCCCCCCCACCCUGAUAUUAGAAUAGCAUUGAAUCACUUCUUGUAUUGCAGUUGCAUCAGCUGUGCAUUGAAAUCGAUAAAUUUUUACCAAUCAUCGCAAGGCUAAUGCGUCAGAUGCAAAUCAUCGAUUUCACUGAGUUACAACACUAUAAAAGACUAGGUAUUAGCUCAGCUGUAUUGUGAAUGAUCGUGCAUUUAUCAGAUAGUUGACAGACGUAUGAAAGCAAUGUUACGUAACUAUUAUAUUUACGCUUGAUUCAUUUAUUUUGAUUUACAACUGAUAUUGAAGACAAUUCAACAUUUCCUCCCGCGUUAUCUAUCGCAAAUUGUUAAAUAUUUGAAUAGCAGCACAGACUUGUGUCCUUGCAACUUUUCACGGGCUGGAUAAUGAGAUGUACGGCACCACGAAUAGUUGAAAAUCGAAUUCAGUUGAAA